AUAUUGCAAAGUAAGAGGGGGUGAGAAGCCCCGCCGGGGUUCGACAGCGGGCGCAGCCCGAUGGACAGCGGAGCCUGCGACGCUGCCCGCAGGGUGAGCGAAGCGAAUCAAUCCCCCUCUCACCGCCA
This 128-nucleotide small RNA is filed under the name Pantoea sp. B_2. RNAcentral's name for it is "RtT sRNA". It matches the Rfam family "RtT RNA". From Rfam's summary of the family: This family represents a bacterial cis-regulatory element known as RtT RNA. RNAcentral also lists the same sequence under 22 other names. The record is from RNAcentral. Lineage: Bacteria; Pseudomonadati; Pseudomonadota; Gammaproteobacteria; Enterobacterales; Erwiniaceae.